CUCUUUCUCGAUUCAGUGGAUGGUGGUGCAUGGCCGUUCUUAGUUGGUGGAGYGAUCUGUCUGGUUAAUUCCGAUAACGAACGAGACUCUCCCCUGCUAACUAGUCGGUUGGAUCUUGAUCAGCGGGUUGCGUGCCGAGUAACUCUCGCUGUGCGUGGUGCGUCUCGGGCCUCACGGUUCGUUGCGUGCUCGUGUGGCGUUGGAUGCCUUGGAUCACACUGCACCCCAAGUCCGCCGCUCAUGCUAUAACUCUUCUUAGAGGGAUUCACGGCACUGAAGCCGUAAGAGACUGAGAGCAAUAACAGGUCUGUGAUGCCCUUAGAUGCUCUGGGCCGCACGCGCGCUACAAUGCCGGGCACAGCAGGUGUUUCUCCUGCUCCGACAGGAGCGGGUAACCCUCUGAAAGCCAGUGUUCUUGCAAGUGCUUCCUCCCUCGUGGAGUUGCACAGAGGCGUGCUUGGGCCUGGGACUUGCAAUUCUUUCCCACCAACGAGGAAUGCCUAGUAGCGGCGGGUCACUGAGCCCGCCGUGACUCAGUCCCUGCCCUUUGUACACACCGCCCGUCGCUACUACCGAUUGGGUGUACCAGUGAGAGCCUUGGACUGGCGUCCGUUGUUGCUCGCAAGAGUGACAAGCGGGUCCGACGGAAAGAGGUCCGAACUGGUGCACUUAGAGGAAGUAAAAGUCGUAACAAGGUUUCCGUAGGUGAACCUGCGGAAGGAUHAUUA
This 728-nucleotide ribosomal RNA is filed under the name Gammarus lacustris. Its description in RNAcentral is "bacterial SSU rRNA". It matches the Rfam family "Eukaryotic small subunit ribosomal RNA". Lineage: Eukaryota; Metazoa; Arthropoda; Malacostraca; Amphipoda; Gammaridae. The record is from RNAcentral.